UUAAAUUGAAGAGUUUGAUCAUGGCUCAGAUUGAACGCUGGCGGCAGGCCUAACACAUGCAAGUCGAACGGUAACAGGAAGAAGCUUGCUUCUUUGCUGACGAGUGGCGGACGGGUGAGUAAUGUCUGGGAAACUGCCUGAUGGAGGGGGAUAACUACUGGAAACGGUAGCUAAUAC
Molecule: ribosomal RNA, 177 nt
Filed under: Escherichia coli
Lineage: Bacteria; Pseudomonadati; Pseudomonadota; Gammaproteobacteria; Enterobacterales; Enterobacteriaceae
Description: partial 16S ribosomal RNA
Rfam family: Bacterial small subunit ribosomal RNA
Source: RNAcentral